Molecule: transfer RNA, 74 nt
Filed under: Christensenellaceae bacterium
Lineage: Bacteria; Bacillati; Bacillota; Clostridia; Christensenellales; Christensenellaceae
Description: tRNA-Cys
Rfam family: tRNA
About the family: Transfer RNA (tRNA) molecules are approximately 80 nucleotides in length. Their secondary structure includes four short double-helical elements and three loops (D, anti-codon, and T loops). Further hydrogen bonds mediate the characteristic L-shaped molecular structure. tRNAs have two regions of fundamental functional importance: the anti-codon, which is responsible for specific mRNA codon recognition, and the 3' end, to which the tRNAs corresponding amino acid is attached (by aminoacyl-tRNA synthetases). tRNAs cope with the degeneracy of the genetic code in two manners: having more than one tRNA (with a specific anti-codon) for a particular amino acid; and 'wobble' base-pairing, i.e. permitting non-standard base-pairing at the 3rd anti-codon position.
Source: RNAcentral
GGCACCAUAGCCAAGUGGUAAGGCAGAGGUCUGCAAAAUCUCUAUCUCCGGUUCAAAUCCGGGUGGUGCCUCCA